RNAcentral lists this ribosomal RNA (344 nucleotides) under uncultured eukaryote. RNAcentral describes it as "SSU rRNA". It matches the Rfam family "Eukaryotic small subunit ribosomal RNA", at positions 567 to 936 of the family's 1831-position model. The record is from RNAcentral.
CCAGCAGCCGCGGUAAUUCCAGCUCCGCAAGUGUAUUCCUAUACUGUUGCGUUUAAAUAGCUCGUAGUUGGAUCUGCGUGUUUAGCGCGCGGUGUUGCUUUUUGCAACUACUGCGACGCGACACAAAGCGCUAAGUACUCAUUGAGAGUAGUUAGCCAGUUUACUUUGAACAAAUCAGAGUGCUCAAAACGGGCGUUUCGCUCGAAUGUUCUUGCAUGGAAUAAUGGAAUAGGACCUUGCGUUCUAUUUUGUUGGUUUUCGGGACGCGGGUAAUGAUUAAGAGGGACAGACGGGGGCAUUUGUACUGCGACGUGAGAGGUGAAAUUCUUGGAUCGUCGCAAGAC